Molecule: ribosomal RNA, 481 nt
Filed under: uncultured bacterium
Lineage: Bacteria
Description: bacterial SSU rRNA
Rfam family: Bacterial small subunit ribosomal RNA
Source: RNAcentral
AACUAACGCUGGCGGCGUGCCUAACACAUGCAAGUCGUACGAGAAAGUUGGCUUCGGCCGAUGAGUAAAGUGGCGCACGGGUGAGUAACGCGUGGAUAAUCUACCCCUCAGUUGGGAAUAACUCAUCGAAAGGUGGGCUAAUACCGAAUAAUACUGCAUGACUUCUGUUGUGUAGUCAAAGAUGGCCUCUGCUUGCAAGCUAUCGCUGAAGGAUGAGUCCGCGUACCAUUAGCUAGUUGGUAGGGUAAUGGCCUACCAAGGCAACGAUGGUUAGCUGGUCUGAGAGGAUGAUCAGCCACACUGGAACUGAGACACGGUCCAGACUCCUACGGGAGGCAGCAGUGAGGAAUAUUGCGCAAUGGGGGCAACCCUGACGCAGCAACACCGCGUGUGCGAAGAAGGCCUUCGGGUCGUAAAGCACUUUUGGUAAGGAAUAGGAAGGAAUGUACUUCCAGAAUAAGUACUCGGCUAACUACGUGCC